AGAUUCUCGCAUGCUUCGGGGAUUCGCAGUAUCGUGGUUGCAUUUGUUGUGGGCAUUGUUAAUGUUUUCAAACACCUAAAGGCUGACCAGGUAGAGGUACAUCUGUUUUCUUCAACCAGAAUGAAGGCAGUGUUUCAUCUUUGUGGCCCUCGCAUAUGAGCUUAUGUAGAAUUUGAAUUUUCCAUAAGCUGUUUGUCUGUCUACUUGGAUUCACUCAGGUUUUCAAGAUGGCUCUCAAAAAGGAGUGUACUACAAGGUGCAGGCGAAAAUCAUCGCUUAUGCUGUUAGAUAGUAGGUUCAUUUCAAGGAUUCUAGAAAUUGUACCAGUUCCAGUCUGGAUCCAGCCUAACUUGUGAACACCACAGAAGACAUCAAAGCUACAGAGUUUAAAUAACUAGAACUGGACAAACAGA
Molecule: long non-coding RNA, 413 nt
Organism: Danio aesculapii
Lineage: Eukaryota; Metazoa; Chordata; Actinopteri; Cypriniformes; Danionidae
Exons: 3
Source: RefSeq, a predicted model, not a curated record